CUUACUUUAGAAUGAUGAAAGAGGUAGCAAUUUGCAGCAGAUUUUUCGUGAUUGAAUCAAACAAAGAUUAACCUUUACAGAACCGCUACACUGAUACUAAUGUAAG
RNAcentral lists this small nucleolar RNA (106 nucleotides) under Saccharomyces cerevisiae (brewer's yeast). RNAcentral's name for it is "Z14 small nucleolar RNA". The stretch from base 8 to 96 matches the Rfam family "Small nucleolar RNA snR50". Lineage: Eukaryota; Fungi; Ascomycota; Saccharomycetes; Saccharomycetales; Saccharomycetaceae. The record is from RNAcentral.